This is a long non-coding RNA of Bombina bombina (fire-bellied toad), 1173 nucleotides long. RefSeq lists it as uncharacterized. NCBI's taxonomy places the organism in Eukaryota, Metazoa, Chordata, Amphibia, Anura, Bombinatoridae. The transcript is spliced from 2 exons. The record is from RefSeq and is a predicted model, not a curated record.
GUGCGGAGGAGGAGCAUCAGUCACUAGUGCUGUAUUUGCCACUGGUUGUUUAUGUAUCAUUGGUAUUUGGUAAUAUAUAGGAAUGUAAGCUAAGGAGCCAGCCCAUCUUUGGUUCAGUAUAUGAUUUUGGUGCUAGAGAUUACUACAAGGCUGCGACUUCCUCCCCAAACCCCCCUUUGCAGUUACUCCAUCUUAACUGGACCUUAUCGCACUAAAUACUAUCCAACAACAUCAACAAAUCUACAGAUUGCUGUAUUAAAAGCCUCAGACUUGCUAUCAACGCUAAUGGAGAUGGCAUACAUGUGGGAAUAGAGCAUUAUGUAUCGUCUCUAUCGGCACUAUAUACAAUUAGAAUCCCCCAUGCAGGCCCUGAUUACCAAAGCACCAAUGGAUUAUAUGAGCCUUUAUGCUACAAAACAUUCAGCACCUGGCGCAACUCCUGGUCAUUCAGAAACAAAGCCUAUACCUAUACCAACACAGGCUUGGAUUUGCACUGGGAGCAAUGUGAAGAAUGGCAAAAACAAGAGGCCUUCCCUGCUAACUCUUAAUAUAAGUAGCACAACAAAGUAAAUGAUCCCGACACCCUGCUUAUACAUCUGCAUACCUAUGUCUCUACUAAACCACCAUUUCUGGGUCCUGCUUCUACCGGACAGUUGGGAGUCCCGAGGAGAGUGGAUUCGACCUUGAUGCACACAAAGCUUCAAUAUGCACAUGUAAGGGCCACCUGGAUCUUUACAGCCAUCCAGACUGUGCCCUCCUAGAUUAGGAGAACUAUUGAAGAUCAAGUUCUCACUGACAGGCAUUGCCAACCCACUGCUCUAAGUACUGAAGUUGAUACGAUGUAGCCUCUGAGCCGCCUGGCUGAUACCAAGCAGAGACUUUCUAGGUUUUUAGAUAAGCCUCAUUCUCAACCUUACAAAGCACCACAUAUCUUACAAAAGCCGCAUAGUCCGUGACCUAUCAAAGAUCCUACGCAACAGAUCCCGAUGAGUAUCCACCUUACUCCUAUUGUGGAAAUAUCUAUGAGUCUAGAAUAGGUUAAUUUGGAAUCUCUUAAUACUGUCAUAUGCAGCAUAUAUUUUACUUGCAUUAAUGUACAAUAAUGAAAAUCAAUCCGCUUCUAUGUUAUUUGACUAUGUUGAUAUUCUCUAAUAAACCAAAUUUUUCUUUGAA